This 2251-nucleotide long non-coding RNA is filed under the name Nicotiana benthamiana. Its description in RNAcentral is "long non-coding RNA (NBEN_LNC030702)". Lineage: Eukaryota; Viridiplantae; Streptophyta; Magnoliopsida; Solanales; Solanaceae. The record is from RNAcentral.
UUGGCAAACGAGUAUGAAAAUGAAAACGAUUUGCAGUAUCUACGGCCUAGCUGUGCAUCCCUUUUGAAUCAUCUGCGCAUCUAUAUCCCCGAGGUAAUUACUUAAUUUAACAUUGUUUUCACCAACAGAAUGAUUAUCCUCAUUAAGGACAUUUAAUGAAUUAUAUUUUCUCAUAUAAUUUUAUGGGUUCACAGCUCUUUCCAGAUCUGAACAAGAUUAUAUUUUUGGACGAUGAUACUGUAGUACAACAUGAUUUAUCAUCUCUAUGGGAACUGGAUCUCAAUGGCAAAGUUGUUGGUGCAGCUUUUGACUCGGGUUGUGGAAAUGGCUGUUGCCCUGGAAGAAAAUACAAGGAUUACUUUAAUUUUACGAGUCCUGUCAUAUCAUCUAACCUGGAUUAUGAUCGUUGCGGAUGGCUUUAUGGAAUGAAUGUCUUUGAUCUUCAAGCUUGGAGGAAGACUAACAUCACUGCCACUUACCAUCACUGGCUUAAACUUGUAAGUACAUAUCAAGCUAACUAAGUCGAAUCAAAAAAUUAUACCUUUCCUUGUUAUUAUUUCUAAAUGCCUAUUAUAAGGGUCUCACGAAUACUUAGGAUGUGCAUUAUGCAUAGCUGCUGCUGUAGAAUGUUUGUAAGUUUAGCAUUUUGUGUUGGUUAUCAUGUGAAAUUACACGAUUGCUAGCUCAUAUCUCUUCAGACAGGUUUUUCAUGCUAUCGAAAACACUUAUCAAUGAGGGGUUAGCUCUUUGUUCAUGAAACAUGUCGAACACUCAAUCUAAUGGAAAUCUAGCGGUUUUAUCUGUUCUCAUUUCGGUUAAUAGGUUGCUUUAAUAGUGUGUUUUGACGAUAUCAUACUUUGACAUCUUUAUUCUAUUUUGUAGAGCCUCAACUCUGGUUUUGAAUUGUGGAAUCCUGGAGCGCUUCCACCUUCCCUGAUAGCUUUUGAGGGUCAUGUGCAUCGGAUUGAUCCUUCAUGGCACAUUGCUGGUUUAGGAUAUCGAUCUAUUAUGAAUGUGGCAGAGUCUACACUGGAAGACGUAGCUGUUGUACAUUUCAGCGGACCAGCCAAGCCAUGGCUUGAGAUUGGGAGCCCUGAGAUACGAAGCUUAUGGAGUCGCCAUGUAAAUUUCUCAAACGAAUACAUUAGGAAAUGUGGAAUCGUGGGGUGAAUGGAAGGGGACACAGUCUCACUCUCAACGUGAAAUAUGUCUGUAAUUUAGUCUUAAGAUAUAUUCUGAGUUGGAGGGAAGAAGGUACAGCCUUCAGUCUCCAAUCACACAACUGUAAUCCCUGUAUAGAUUGUGGGGUGAAUGGUUAAGGGGACAAAGCCUCACUUUCAACGUGAAAUAUAUCGUAAUUUAGUCUGAAGAUAUAUUCUGAGUUGGAGGGAAGAAGGUACAGCCUUCAGUCUCCGAUCACACCAUUGUAGUCCCUGUAUAGACUAAGCUAGCGUGCCAUACACUACACAGGCUAGAUGUUUGACAGCUUUCGUGUAUUAGGUUGAUAGAUAUAAAGCUAUUGCAAAGUCUUUUUUCCACGUUCCUAUACCUAUAAUAAUAUCUUUCUAUUGAAGUCAUAUGUAAGACAAGAGGGGCGACUUUGAUGGUAAGCAACCCCACUUCCAACCAAGAGGUUGUGGUUCGAGUCUCCCCAAGAGCAAGGUGGAAAGUUCUUGGAGGGAAAGAUGCCGGGAGUCUAUUUGGAAACAGCCUCUCUAACUACCCUUCCCAAACCCCACUAAGUAGGAUUAUACUGGGUUGUUGUUGUUGAAGUCAUAUGUAGGACAUUCGAUGAAGCUAGGAAGUUUUCUAAAAUAAUACUACUAAUAAAAUUCUUAAAGUAGACAAAUGGUAUAAUUAUCAUGGGCAGGUGAUUGUCAACAACUAAGAAAACUUAGAAGUAGACAAUUUAUUUUAUUUUGGGUGUACUUGAUUAGUUAAUAUAUACACGAUAACGUAGUUAUUGUCAAUUUACUUCAGUUGAGGAUGACUAUUUUAAAUGCUAGUAAAAGGCACUAUCAGCUGUACAAACAUUAAGACAAAUAAAGAAUCAGAUGUCCACUUUUACUAAUUUUGGAAAAAACAAUCGAAAUGAAGAACAAACACGUGUAUGGCAUCACAUUUUAGAUAAACUAUUAACUGAGGUGAAAUGGCUAUAGUUGGCCAUGUUACUUUUCUAAACACAUACAGAAACAAAUAGCAGAAAGUUAACCACAGAUUUCUUUUUCUCUACGAUAAAGAUGAAGAGAUU